GGCGGUAUAGCUUAAAUGGUAGAGCAUAUCCUUAGCAUGCAUGAGGUCCUGGGUUUAAAGCCCUGGUACCGCCA
This 74-nucleotide transfer RNA is filed under the name Camelus bactrianus (Bactrian camel). It matches the Rfam family "tRNA". From Rfam's summary of the family: Transfer RNA (tRNA) molecules are approximately 80 nucleotides in length. Their secondary structure includes four short double-helical elements and three loops (D, anti-codon, and T loops). Further hydrogen bonds mediate the characteristic L-shaped molecular structure. tRNAs have two regions of fundamental functional importance: the anti-codon, which is responsible for specific mRNA codon recognition, and the 3' end, to which the tRNAs corresponding amino acid is attached (by aminoacyl-tRNA synthetases). tRNAs cope with the degeneracy of the genetic code in two manners: having more than one tRNA (with a specific anti-codon) for a particular amino acid; and 'wobble' base-pairing, i.e. permitting non-standard base-pairing at the 3rd anti-codon position. RNAcentral also lists the same sequence under 2 other names. The record is from Rfam by way of RNAcentral. Lineage: Eukaryota; Metazoa; Chordata; Mammalia; Artiodactyla; Camelidae.